This is a non-coding RNA of Xyrichtys novacula (pearly razorfish), 1087 nucleotides long. NCBI's taxonomy places the organism in Eukaryota, Metazoa, Chordata, Actinopteri, Labriformes, Labridae. The record is from the annotation of a GenBank genome assembly.
UGAACAGUUCCGGAGCUUCAAAGUUCAGGUGAUGGCCAGAGACAACGGUUCUCCUCCUCUCAGCAGCAACGUGACCGUGAGUGUGUUCAUAUCAGAUGUGAAUGACAACUCUCCUCAGAUCCUGUACCCCGGGCCAGAGGGCAAGUCGUUCAUGACCGAGCUGGUCCCCAAAGCUGCACACGGAGGCUCUCUGGUGUCCAAAGUGAUAGCGGUGGACGCGGACUCUGGACAGAACGCCUGGCUGUCGUAUCAAAUUGUGAAAUCCACUGAUCCGGGACUUUUCACUAUUGGUGUCCACAGCGGAGAGAUCAGGACCCAGCGGGACAUUUUUGAAUCUGACAGCAUGAAACAGAACCUUGUAGUGUCAGUGAAAGAUAACGGGCAGCCCUCUCUGUCUGCCACCUGUUCCAUGUAUUUACUGAUUUCUGAUAACUUGGCUGAGGUGCCAGAACUGAAGGACAUUUCUUAUGAUGAGAAGAACUCCAAACUGACCUCUUAUCUGAUCAUCGCGCUGGUGUGUGUGUCGACGUUUUUUCUGACCUUCAUCAUCAUCAUCCUUGGUGUGAGGUUUUGUCGCAGGAGAAAGCCCAGACUGUUGUUUGACGGAGCAGUGGCCAUCCCCAGCGCGUAUCUCCCUCCUAAUUACGCAGAUGUUGACGGCACAGGAACUUUACGCAGCGCUUACAAUUAUGACGCCUACCUGACAACAGGGUCUCGAACCAGUGACUUUAAGUUUGUGUCAUCGUACAAUGACAACACACUGCCAGCUGACCAGACUCUGAGGAAAAGUCCAUCAGACUUUGCUGAAGUGUUUGGAGACUGCGAUGACUCUCCCGAGGUAGGAAUGUUUGCCAGACACAGUAUAUUUGCUUCAUUUUGUUAGAUCUCUCUUUUGUUAGGUAAUUUGAUAGCAUUAAUAGAGACGGUUAAAUGUUUUUGUCGUUUUGUCGGCACACGAUUUAAGGAACUUGGUUUGCCAUUAUGAAUUCAGUGAAAGAAUACUUUCUUCAGAUUCUGCCUUUUUCUUGUUCGUUCAUUUGUCCCUUUACUGUAGUAUCAUAAUGUGCUUUUUUAAAUAUCAUUGUCA